UACGAAGGGGGCUAGCGUUGUUCGGAAUCACUGGGCGUAAAGCGCACGCAGGCGGAUUGAUAAGUCGGGGGUGAAAUCCCGGGGCUCAACCUCGGAAUUGCCUUCGAUACUGUCUGUCUUGAGUCCGGGAGAGGUGAGUGGAAUUCCUAGUGUAGAGGUGAAAUUCGUAGAUAUUAGGAAGAACACCAGUGGCGAAGGCGGCUCACUGGCCCGGUACUGACGCUCAGGUGCGAAAGCGUGGGGAGCAAACAGG
Molecule: ribosomal RNA, 253 nt
Filed under: uncultured bacterium
Lineage: Bacteria
Description: partial 16S ribosomal RNA
Rfam family: Bacterial small subunit ribosomal RNA
Source: RNAcentral